Molecule: ribosomal RNA, 305 nt
Filed under: uncultured bacterium
Lineage: Bacteria
Description: bacterial SSU rRNA
Rfam family: Bacterial small subunit ribosomal RNA
Source: RNAcentral
UUCCUCCGGGCGGCAGCAGUAGGGAAUCUUCCACAAUGGGCGAAAGCCUGACGGAGCAACGCCGCGUGGGUGCCGCCUGUCUUCGGCUCGUCCCCCCCUGUUGUUCUCGCCGCCCGUGCGUGCGCGUCCCUGUUCCCGUUUCGACGGUAUCUACCCAGCCAGCCCCGGCUCCCUCCGUGCCCGCCGCCGCGGUCCUCCGUCGGUGGCCCGCGUUCUCCGGCUUUCUUGGGCGUCCCGGGCCCGCCGGCGGUCUUUUCCGUCUGCUGUGCCCGCCUUCGGCUCCCCCGGCGUCGUGCAUUGGCAAC